UACAGAGGGGGCAAGCGUUGUUCGGAAUUACUGGGCGUAAAGGGCGCGUAGGCGGCCCGCUAAGUCGAACGUGAAAUCCCCGAGCUCAACUCGGGAACUGCGUCCGAUACUGGUGGGCUUGAAUCCGGGAGAGGGAUGCGGAAUUCCAGGUGUAGCGGUGAAAUGCGUAGAUAUCUGGAGGAACACCGGUGGCGAAGGCGGCAUCCUGGACCGAGAUUGACACUGAUGAGCGAAAGCUAGGGGAGCAAACGGG
This 253-nucleotide ribosomal RNA is filed under the name uncultured bacterium. Its description in RNAcentral is "partial 16S ribosomal RNA". It matches the Rfam family "Bacterial small subunit ribosomal RNA", at positions 524 to 776 of the family's 1533-position model. The record is from RNAcentral.